AUGCAAGUCGAGCGGAAAGGCCCCUUCGGGGGUACUCGAGCGGCGAACGGGUGAGUAACACGUGAGCAACCUGCCCCUGACUCUGGGAUAAGCCCGGGAAACUGGGUCUAAUACCGGAUAUGACCGGCCUUCGCAUGGAGUGCCGGUGGAAAGUUUUUCGGUUGGGGAUGGGCUCGCGGCCUAUCAGCUUGUUGGUGGGGUGAUGGCCUACCAAGGCGACGACGGGUAACCGGCCUGAGAGGGCGACCGGUCACACUGGGACUGAGACACGGCCCAGACUCCUACGGGAGGCAGCAGUGGGGAAUAUUGCGCAAUGGGCGGAAGCCUGACGCAGCGACGCCGCGUGGGGGAUGACGGCCUUCGGGUUGUAAACCUCUUUCAGCAGGGACGAAGCUAACGUGACGGUACCUGCAGAAGAAGCGCCGGCUAACUACGUGCCAGCAGCCGCGGGUAAUUCA
This 458-nucleotide ribosomal RNA is filed under the name Actinomadura sp. XM-11-5. RNAcentral describes it as "bacterial SSU rRNA". It matches the Rfam family "Bacterial small subunit ribosomal RNA", at positions 55 to 527 of the family's 1533-position model. Lineage: Bacteria; Bacillati; Actinomycetota; Actinomycetes; Streptosporangiales; Thermomonosporaceae. The record is from RNAcentral.